Molecule: ribosomal RNA, 440 nt
Filed under: uncultured bacterium
Lineage: Bacteria
Description: partial 16S ribosomal RNA
Rfam family: Bacterial small subunit ribosomal RNA
Source: RNAcentral
CCUACGGGAGGCAGCAGUAGGGAAUAUUGCUCAAUGGGGGAAACCCUGAAGCAGCAACGCCGCGUGGGGGAUGAAGGUUUUCGGAUUGUAAACUCCUUUUGUUAGAGAAGAUAAUGACGGUAUCUAACGAAUAAGCACCGGCUAACUCCGUGCCAGCAGCCGCGGUAAUACGGAGGGUGCAAGCGUUACUCGGAAUCACUGGGCGUAAAGAGCGCGUAGGCGGGAUAGCAAGUCAGAUGUGAAAUCCUAUGGCUUAACCAUAGAACUGCAUUUGAAACUGUUAUUCUAGAGUGUGGGAGAGGUAGGUGGAAUUCUUGGUGUAGGGGUAAAAUCCGUAGAGAUCAAGAGGAAUACUCAUUGCGAAGGCGACCUGCUAGAACAUAACUGACGCUGAUGCGCGAAAGCGUGGGGAGCAAACAGGAUUAGAUACCCCAGUAGUC